RNAcentral lists this ribosomal RNA (112 nucleotides) under uncultured bacterium. Its description in RNAcentral is "partial 16S ribosomal RNA". It matches the Rfam family "Bacterial small subunit ribosomal RNA", at positions 1365 to 1482 of the family's 1533-position model. The record is from RNAcentral.
AAUACGUUCCCGGGCCUUGUACACACCGCCCGUCAAGCCAUGGAAGUCAGGGAGACCUGAAGCCGGUGACCGUCAAAGGAGCCGUCUAGGGUAAAACUUGGUAACUGGGGCU